Molecule: long non-coding RNA, 147 nt
Organism: Patiria miniata (bat star)
Lineage: Eukaryota; Metazoa; Echinodermata; Asteroidea; Valvatida; Asterinidae
Exons: 3
Source: RefSeq, a predicted model, not a curated record
UGCAACGUAUUCUGUGCAUGCAGUACGACGGUUGUAGUUUGAACCAGUUCUGGAAGCUCCCACACAGGUGGGUGUGUCUAAUCCCUUGCAGAUGAAGGAAGCUAUUGACUUUUAAAAUAAAGGUCCUCUGUAGACGCUCGAUGUAAU